Molecule: unclassified non-coding RNA, 288 nt
Filed under: uncultured fungus
Lineage: Eukaryota; Fungi
Description: partial contains 5.8S rRNA and ITS2
Source: RNAcentral
AACGCAACUGGCGCCGGUUUACCGGCAUGCCUGUUUCAGUGUGCUAGGAGAGUAAACUAUCCUUAUAAAAUAUAAUUUGAUUGAGAAACAUUUAUGUUCUUCUUUCGUUAAAUAUGAAGGUGUGAAAGAUGCGUAAUCUCUCACACUGGCAAACGAAGUAGUCAUUCUUAUUCGUGAUCUCGUUUAACCAUUGAUAAAGGUUUUUGCUUAGCUAUAAAUCACAUCUAAGCAAUUAAAUAUAUCCAAAUUUGGCAUCUGAAAUCAGACAAGGAUACCCGCUGAACUUAA